Molecule: ribosomal RNA, 446 nt
Filed under: uncultured bacterium
Lineage: Bacteria
Description: bacterial SSU rRNA
Rfam family: Bacterial small subunit ribosomal RNA
Source: RNAcentral
GGCCAGACUCCUACGGGAGGCAGCAGUGGGGGAUAUUGCACAAUGGGGGAAACCCUGAUGCAGCGACGCCGCGUGGGUGAAGAAGCGCCUCGGCGCGUAAAGCCCUGUCAGCAGGGAAGAAAAUGACGGUACCUGAAGGAGAAGCCCCGGCUAACUACGUGCCAGCAGCCGCGGUAAUACGUAGGGGGCAAGCGUUAUCCGGAUUUACUGGGUGUAAAGGGGGCGCAGACGGCGAUGCAAGCCAGGAGUGAAAGCCCGGGGCCCAACCCCGGGACUGCUCUUGGAACUGCGUGGCUGGAGUGCAGGAGGGGCAGGCGGAAUUCCUGGUGUAGCGGUGAAAUGCUUAGAUAUCAGGAGGAACAUCGGUGGCGUAAGCGCUUUACUGGGCCGUAAUUGACGCUGAGGAACGAAAGCCAGGGUAGCAAAUGGGAUUAGAUACCCUGGUA